UUGCCUCGCGAGCGGGGGAUUGCAGGGACGGGCCGGCAUGGACGCCGGCCCGAGGUUCGCCGCGACAGGACGUCGCGUCGAACCGUGCCCGUCGGCAAUCCCCCGAUCGCGAGGGGA
Molecule: regulatory RNA element, 117 nt
Organism: Halothiobacillus sp.
Lineage: Bacteria; Pseudomonadati; Pseudomonadota; Gammaproteobacteria; Chromatiales; Halothiobacillaceae
Source: Rfam